This 256-nucleotide ribosomal RNA is filed under the name uncultured bacterium. RNAcentral describes it as "partial 16S ribosomal RNA". It matches the Rfam family "Bacterial small subunit ribosomal RNA", at positions 521 to 776 of the family's 1533-position model. The record is from RNAcentral.
UAAUACAGAGGGUGCAAGCGUUAAUCGGAAUCACUGGGCGUAAAGAGUGCGUAGGUGGUUAGAAAAGUUGAGUGUGAAAUCCCCGGGCUCAACCUGGGAAUUGCGCUCAAAACUGUCUAGCUAGAGUAUGGUAGGGGGAAGUGGAAUUUCCGGUGUAGCGGUGAAAUGCGUAGAUAUCGGAAGGAACAUCAGUGGCGAAGGCGACUUCCUGGACUAAUACUGACACUGAGGCACGAAAGCGUGGGGAGCAAACAGG